RNAcentral lists this ribosomal RNA (254 nucleotides) under uncultured bacterium. Its description in RNAcentral is "partial 16S ribosomal RNA". It matches the Rfam family "Bacterial small subunit ribosomal RNA", at positions 524 to 776 of the family's 1533-position model. The record is from RNAcentral.
CACGUAGGGUGCGAGCGUUGUCCGGAAUUAUUGGGCGUAAAGAGCUCGUAGGCGGUGUGUCGCGUCGGCCGUGAAAACCUGCAGCUUAACUGUGGGCUUGCGGUCGAUACGGGCAUCACUGGAGUUCGGCAGGGGAGACUGGAAUUCCUGGUGUAGCGGUGAAAUGCGCAGAUAUCAGGAGGAACACCAAUGGCGAAGGCAGCUCGCUGGGACGGUACUGACGCUGAGGCGCGAAAGCGUGGGGAGCGAACAGG